Molecule: non-coding RNA, 114 nt
Organism: Marasmius tenuissimus
Lineage: Eukaryota; Fungi; Basidiomycota; Agaricomycetes; Agaricales; Marasmiaceae
Source: the annotation of a GenBank genome assembly
GGUGCUAUAGCCAAGUGAGGUGACACUGAACAGAUUACAAUCCCAGAUUCCUCCAAGUCCAACUUGUUGAUCUGUUCCUCUUUGAGGGCGCAGGUUCGAAUCCUGUCGGCAUCG